This is a long non-coding RNA of Oreochromis aureus, 832 nucleotides long. The record is from Ensembl. Lineage: Eukaryota; Metazoa; Chordata; Actinopteri; Cichliformes; Cichlidae.
GCGGCGUUCACCUGUAUAAAGAGAAGCCGGGUUCUUUCGCUGGAUUAUUUCCUCCCGAGCUUCUGGUGCGAUACAGCGGUAGACGCUGGCUUGCUGGUUAAAUUACUGAGGUGAUCAGGUCGCGUGAUUGCUACAGCGCGGCUGUUUUUCUUUCCUUUGCUCCAGCCGUGGUGAGGAGACGCGUGAGUGCAUCCGCCGUGCAGUACAGCGCCUCCAAGUUCUGGGGGUUUGAUUGCUGCCGUGCCCUCUCGGGGACCAACCGCCUGCUUUGGCUACGUAGAGAGUCGGGCGCCUGCCCUGCUGCUGUCUUGUUUUGUUGAUUUUGUUAUAUUACGGUUAAUCUGUCGGCGGCCCAGUUUUGCCCUGUAGCUUGCCUUUCCACGCCCUUUUGGACUAUUGUUCGCUCCAGCUUUUGUGGCUGGCCGGGGCGAUUCUCGGCCGUAUACUGGGCCGGUUAUACGAACUGGUACUGCCUUUCCCCUUUCUCCCAGCUGUGGGAAGUUGUGUGAGACCGAGCAGACCAAGGAUAAUCGGACCCAGCACCAGCUGUGGGCUGGUUCGCCGAGUGAAAGUAUUUUUAAUCAGUGCUCUGUGGUGUAUAACUGGCGAACUGAGGAUUUACCAGCGGCCGUGGGACCUCAGGUGGUGGGUCGUUUUCCACACUUCUUUUGUUGUACAGCACCAGGUGAAUAGACUAUAGUAGGUUUUUUUGUGUGGUUCUUUUGGUCCACCGCUGCUGGUAAGUCCCAGUUGUAUUUAUUUUUAUUGUAAUUUGGGAUACCGUUUUAGAUAUUCAGUGUGCUGUUGUUUUGUUUUUCAUUUUACAUUAAUA